This 668-nucleotide ribosomal RNA is filed under the name bacterium YG-28. RNAcentral describes it as "bacterial SSU rRNA". It matches the Rfam family "Bacterial small subunit ribosomal RNA", at positions 784 to 1451 of the family's 1533-position model. The record is from RNAcentral.
GACCUGGUAGUCUACGCUGUAAACGAUGUCGACUUGGAGGUUGUGCCCUUGAGGCGUGGCUUCCGGAGCUAACGCGUUAAGUCGACCGCCUGGGGAGUACGGCCGCAAGGUUAAAACUCAAAUGAAUUGACGGGGGCCCGCACAAGCGGUGGAGCAUGUGGUUUAAUUCGAUGCAACGCGAAGAACCUUACCUACUCUUGACAUCCACGGAAUUCGCCAGAGAUGGCUUAGUGCCUUCGGGAACCGUGAGACAGGUGCUGCAUGGCUGUCGUCAGCUCGUGUUGUGAAAUGUUGGGUUAAGUCCCGCAACGAGCGCAACCCUUAUCCUUUGUUGCCAGCACGUAAUGGUGGGAACUCAAAGGAGACUGCCGGUGAUAAACCGGAGGAAGGUGGGGAUGACGUCAAGUCAUCAUGGCCCUUACGAGUAGGGCUACACACGUGCUACAAUGGCAUAUACAAAGAGAAGCGAACUCGCGAGAGCAAGCGGACCUCAUAAAGUAUGUCGUAGUCCGGAUUGGAGUCUGCAACUCGACUCCAUGAAGUCGGAAUCGCUAGUAAUCGUAGAUCAGAAUGCUACGGUGAAUACGUUCCCGGGCCUUGUACACACCGCCCGUCACACCAUGGGAGUGGGUUGCAAAAGAAGUAGGUAGCUUAACCUUCGGGAGGGC